AGUUUCUUGCCCUUUCUUGGCUCAUGUUUCUGGUUCUGUGUUCUUUUUGCCAGGGAUGCUAAGUUUGAUGUCUUUUGUCUGUUGUCUUUGCAAUCGGAAAUAUCCACUGAGGGAAAUGUCUUUUCCCAUUCACCCAGACUGACCUUGGGCUCAUUUACCAACAGGCUUCAGUCAUCACACUGACUUUGAUAGGAAAAAAGCCAGAUAAUGUGACUCUGUGUAUUUAUUUCUCCUGUAUCUCUUCUUUUUAUUCCUUCUGUUAUUGACAGAUCGCUCAGCUGGGGACAUGUCCCCUGGCCAGUGCUUUAAAAUACAUGGCUGGAUCACAUAAAAAUACUUUCCUGAGCUUGACUGGGUAAGAGGAGGGGAACCACGGUGCAGAAGGAGCACAUUCACUGCGACUGUGAUCAUCUUCAGCCUUUUUGAAAAUGUGGAAAGGAGGAUGGCUUUGUUAGGUCCAGCUGAUGUCCUUGGGCUUGAAUGGGAAAGCCUAUUUGGAAAGCUACAUGUUACUAUGAUCUCUAUAUGUAACUGGAGAGGUGGCUCAUGCCAACACAUCUAUCAGGUUGUUGGGUCACUUCAGAGCUCUGAAAAGGGAUGAGCAACUUCCAUGAAUAACAAGAGAAAACAUGCUGGGGAAGACUUUGUCCUACGGAAGCUAACAACUAAAGGUUUGAUUCAUUUCCCACUGAUGUUGGAUGAAAGAUUUCUAAUGGAUUUGCUGGCUAUUGGAACGAGCCUUAUGGCCUCUCAUUAUGCAGAAAUCUUGCUAAAAGCCAAUAUGGAUGAAUUUAUCAGCUGCAGUAAAUAUUUUAUAAAUGACAUGCAUCCCCAGAGUGCAGUGGAAAGAGGUUAUGAUGUAUUUUUACUUGCAUGCAUUUUGGCAGAACACUGUGAUCAUUCAUAAAUGAUUAGCUACUGUAACUUGGAUAAGGGAAAGUGCAUCCUGCCAGAAAAGCAAACAUCAAAACUCUCCUGGGCCAUGCAGAAUUAGGGCACCUCGUGUGUAUUUUAUUUGCUGUCUCAUCCCACAGACAAGGAGUAGCUUUGAAUAUGGAAGCUUGUGCCUGGGACUCCAGAAACUCAAAGAACUAGCUCAGUCAAUAAAAAAAAAAAAAGCAUAUUCACAUUUUUCACAUUCACAUAGUGCCUUCUGCUCGCUUCACUUCAGAUAUAUUUUACAUGUUAAGAAACGUGCCUGUUCCAUCACAAUGAGGGAACUCUGCUAUCUGUCCCAAAAGAUGAUCUGAUCACUGUGUCCAAGUGCCCUCACGCUGGCAGUUGAUGUCUUUAGAACUGUCACCAAACUGAUGGCAAAAAUUUAUUGAAAAUACCAUGCUGUAGUAUUAAUAAAGGUUUGGAGCAAGGGGAUCAAGGUCUUCAUCUGAUGGUCUCUGUUCUGUCCCACCCAUUUCCUGGGAGGAAACAGGACCUGGCCUUAGGGAAUGCCAUCAUGAGGAGAGGCUGCAGAGGAAGGAGUACUGUGGUCCCCAUCCACACGAUGCUUCCUCUCAUAUGCAUCCUAACCCUAACCUUAAGCCAUGCGUUGUAACCUGUACCCUUCUUUGGGCUCACAGCCCCCACAGUGACCCAGCAAAAUGGCUGCUGUGCUCUGUUCCAUCACUGCACAGACAGACCAAGCGAGCAGCUCCUCUCUGGCUUUCAGAAGAGGGUAGAAGGACAGAGUGGGGGUAUGAGUGGUUAGUGGUGCGACGGAUGCUGAGGGCCGUGCGCGAGAGUGUACUGGCAAUAUUACAGUACCAAACUUAUUCUGGGACCUAAUAUUUAUGAGUUAUUUGGUAGUGUAUGUGCUCAAAAUUGCAGUGUCCUCGUGCUGUCCGUGUGCUGCCCCGCACAGGAAGUGGCAGAUUCUUCUGAGGCUGUUGUGUCAACACUGAGCAGUAAGAAAUGGCCUUGGGCUUGAUGGCUCUGCCCUUGCUGGGACCUGUGAGGUGACUGAGAGCCCACGGACAGCAAGGCAAGGAGGUGGGUCACACGAGCAGGCCCUGCAGCCAGGGGGCAGGGUUUGAUUUCAAAGCACAUGGUAGUAUGGCUUCCUGACUGCACAGGUCAGCCGCCCUGGCAAACUGUCUGACCCCUUUCCAGGAGUUACACUGGGAAGGGACAAGCUAAGCCAUGAGCUUGGUUCCCUGAACUCAUUACACUCUUCUGGAGAGAAGCUGUGCGCAGGUGAGAUGCCAUCUGCAUGUGCUUCUUGGCAAAUUAAUCUGGCAGUACAUUCUUCCCUGGGGACUUUCAUUACCAUACCAGUCACAUCAGGGAACCAAAUACCUGGGCGGUUUGCAUUUAUCCCCUGUGUGCUGGGUAGGUCUGCUAAAAUGCAAAUCACUGCCUCAUCCCAGCUGAAAGGCCUUUCCUCUGAAGAGAGACCAUGUGACUUCAGAUGCGCAGACGGUAACUUCAGCCCAUCCCUUUCUCUGCCUGUGAUACAGGAGGCACGGUGACAAAACAGAUCUCCAAUAGCAUGCAAGCAGCACAGCUGGAGGGCUGCAGCCAAGAACUGCCGCAUCACGAUGAAUAUGGUACUUACCCUUGACUGCUUCUGAGGAGUCAGGCUCAAAAAAUUUCCUCUCGGGAGGCUGUGUCGGUAGGUGGAGAGUAAGUGCUUUGUGAGCUCCAGAGCCCCAGGGAAGAUUGGAGUGCGGGUUCUGCAGAGCUGCGCCCUUCAUUAUGCAGUUCUGGUUCCAAAAAGGGACUGCUUCUGCUUCGAAAGGAAGCUUCUAAAGGUCUGCAAAGUGAAUGAGAGAGGGGUCAGUGCUUUUGCCCUGAGAAAAAUCAGUGUGCUUCUAGUUAUCAAGUUU
RNAcentral lists this long non-coding RNA (2822 nucleotides) under Gallus gallus (chicken). RNAcentral describes it as "long non-coding RNA NONGGAT001043". Lineage: Eukaryota; Metazoa; Chordata; Aves; Galliformes; Phasianidae. The record is from RNAcentral.